Molecule: long non-coding RNA, 3088 nt
Organism: Neopsephotus bourkii (Bourke's parrot)
Lineage: Eukaryota; Metazoa; Chordata; Aves; Psittaciformes; Psittacidae
Exons: 2
Source: RefSeq, a predicted model, not a curated record
GCUAAGCCAUUUUCACAUUUAAGAAGAGAGGACUUUGUGGUAGCUCUGCAUAUUGAAGAACUGCCUAUUGCUGAGCUCUUUAACCAUCUAAAGGAAAAGGAGGCAGAAUGUGGCAGAGGCAGCGAUGAGGAGGACAAAUUCAGGAAGGCAUUGCAUCCUUCCUAUAUGAUACAGUGAGAGUUGUCUUUCCUCUUUCUUUGCAACCAUCUUAUUUCUUCUAAUUUACACUGCAAUACCCAUCCAUGAAUCCUUCUGCUAACUUCAGUGACUGAAAAAAGAAAGGAACUUUGGUUCAAUCAUGUAAAACACAGAAACUCUGGCCACGAAUCACUAAGUGUUUAAGCACAUCUUCAGGCCUGUGCCCAAUACUUUGGAGAAUGGAGCUCAAUACACAUAUUCCUGCUCCCACACAAGUCUCUCAUAAAACACCUAUUCAUUUCCAUGAAUCAGACACAAGCUGAUAUCCCUGUGGUGGUAUGGUGGCAUAAUAUCUCCACUACUGAUAAUAGAAAUUGUGUCCAAAUCCCAUCAUGCUAAAAGAAAAUUGGAUUAAUAUUGGUAUCUGAGAAGGUAAGUAAUGCAUCCCAAGCAGUCAUAUCUCUGGCACAGUGAAACAUAUAUCUCUGAGAGACGGAUUUGCAUAAGAAGAUGGAGAGAUGACAAAAUGAAUAAAGAAAGAAGGCACAGAAGAAGAGGAAAAAGAAGUAGCAGGUAUGAACUGGACAACACCAUUGAUUUAUGAAUGAAAAUCUAAAAGUUUUUCUGUUUCAAGUGCAAAAACCAAGUAGCCCUUGGGCAGUUCUAUCUUUGCAGCUGGGAAGUCCAUGAUAUGUCACCCAAAAAAAUAUACAUCUUGAUGAUAUGUCACAUGCCUACAGGCGCCAAGUGGAUCAUUUUACUGUGAAAGACAUUUCAUUUAUUUAAUUGUAAAAUAACCCGCCCUUCCCCAUAUGCAUAAGGAGAGUCUGGGCUUAAAACAGGAUUCAAGCACAGUGUUUCAUUUCUGCAGCACAGAAGCCGAGACAUACGCUUAAUAUUAUUUGCAGAGAAAUCAAAAGCCACAGUCAGACCAAUAAGGAUGAAAAAACUUAAGUGUCUAGUUAACGACCCAUCACACAGGUUUUCUAUGAAGCCAGUUUAGAGACUAGAUAGGAAUCUCAGGAUGAGACCUUCUGAAAGUGCCUUUCUUUUACUUCUCUGAUAGGAUGGUUAACUAUGGGCUUCACCCUUGACCUUUACCUGGUAGAAGACUGGUGAGAUGUAUCCUACCAUAAGUACUUAAUUUUGUCUUCAAGUCUUCAGGUAUCCAAAUUGAAGACAGGGAGAAGAGAUUCCGGUCACUUAGUAUUCAGAACUUCCUAUAUCAGAUGUGGGUCAGCAAUCACAUCAGUAGAGCAGCAAAAUAGUCUUUUUGACCAGUGAAAGGAAAGUCUAGCUCCAUGCCACUGUGGGCAUUUCUUGCCAUAAGCUUUCCACAAUGAGGCACAAAUAUUGCUUGGAGACAAUCUGCUAAUUUUUGCCAGUUAGUACUGCAAUCUGCGAUCUGCAAGCUGGUUAAGGCAUCUGAUGCAUCUCUUUAAGGUGUUACUGUGUCAGUAUUAUUAGGAUUCUAGAGGUUAUCACACAAAAGACUAGUAUGGAACAGAAGGAAGCCACUGAUCAUCAAAAUUAACAUUAUAAUAUCCUUUCAAUACCUCCAGAUUAGCAGUUCACUCAACAUGACAUUUGCUUUUUGAAAGGCAUGUGCUCUGCAUGCACAACGUUUUAAUAUCUCAUUGUUUAAGGGAAGUUGACAAUGAUGGGUGAUGUAUAAACAGGCUGAAGAUAUUCUGAAGAGAGCUCUACCUGCAUGGACAAGAAAGUCCUUGCAAGUUGCAGGCAAAGGAAGCUCGGGGCCUCUACUGGAGAACUUAAAGUCUUUUGUAAUUAAUGCUGUAAUUGGAGGUUGCUGGACAUGCUCCUUGAGUUCCUGCCAGGGAAUGUGACGGCUUCAGAAAGCUGUUGACUCCAUGCUGUACACCAGCUGAAACAACCUCCUCGAGUGCAAUAGAUGACAUAGAGCUCCUGGGUUGGCAAAACUCUCAUCUGAGCAGCAAAAUGCAUGAAGCUUUUCCCUUCCAGUGUUAUCACAGUGACAUCAGUACCAUUCAGCCAUCUGACAGCUGCAUCACCCAGGGUGGCAAGGUUGAGCUGUCCUCCCUCUGCAUUUUAGUGCAGGCAGCCCAUCACCAUGCUCCUGCCAGCUGUCCCUAGAGCCACCCAGCAGGGUCUGGAACAGGCUAGGUCACCACCAUCAUGCUUGCUCUUGGCAGAGGUGACCAGGCUCAUUCCAGCCCCACUAUUUCAGAUUGAAAAUGGAUAAAUAUACGCCAGAGAAGUCAAAGCUUAGAAACAAGGCUGCUUCCUGUGAUCUUUGCCUUCACUUGGGAACAUAAUUAUUGGCUUCCGGUGCACCAGCACUAGUCAUGGGGAUGCCAGUCAUGUAAUAAUAUCAUAAAGGCAGAAAUGACCACCAGAAAGGGGUGGCAGGUAAUUUUAGCUAGAAACCGCAGGCUUAAACACAUUUCUUCUGGAGGUAAGCAGAUCUUUGCACAGAAAUUAUUUGCAACUCAUCUGCAGUGACUGCGACCAGUGUCAGCUGUUAAGUAAUAAGUUAUUUUUAUCCACUGCAGCUCUACAGCAUCUCUGAGGGUGAUGGCAUCUUGCCAAGGCUUUGGAAGUGCUGCAUGAGCUGACACACAAAGAUGAAUGGUGGAGGCAAGCCCGGAGGACAUUUCUGACUCAACUUUACAGAGGAAAUCAAAUCCAAAUAUACCAGGUGAUAUUUGGACCCCUACUGAAGUGAGUGGCAGUGCCAUGACCAAUUCUAUUCACCUUGCCCAGGAUGUGGCCAUGUAGUUGGAUGACCACUUCCUUAGAGAACUCCUGUAUCCUCUAGAGUUCUAGGGACAAGUAUAUUUAGAUCAAACCCUAUUAGUUUUGCUGACACAGUGCUUCCCUUGAAAUCAGUGGUUGGGGGUAUCUUUUAGCAGAAGAUGAACAGGAAGAUUUCAUGGGUUUGGUAUGCAUUAAAGUGCAUAUUGUACUG